This 292-nucleotide ribosomal RNA is filed under the name uncultured prokaryote. RNAcentral's name for it is "partial 16S ribosomal RNA". It matches the Rfam family "Bacterial small subunit ribosomal RNA", at positions 505 to 796 of the family's 1533-position model. The record is from RNAcentral.
GUGUCAGCCGCCGCGGUAAUACAGAGGGUGCAAGCGUUAAUCGGAUUUACUGGGCGUAAAGCGCGCGUAGGUGGCCAAUUAAGUCAAAUGUGAAAUCCCCGAGCUUAACUUGGGAAUUGCAUUCGAUACUGGUUGGCUAGAGUAUGGGAGAGGAUGGUAGAAUUCCAGGUGUAGCGGUGAAAUGCGUAGAGAUCUGGAGGAAUACCGAUGGCGAAGGCAGCCAUCUGGCCUAAUACUGACACUGAGGUCCGAAAGCGUGGGUAGCAAACAGGAUUAGAUACCCCGGUAGUCC